AUUCCAGUUCCAAUAGUGUAUAUUAAUUCUGUUGUGGUUAAAAAGCUCGUAGUCGGAUUUCGACGCGUGGGAGUCAAGGUCCGUCUAAAUGGCGUGGCCCGACACCUGCCGUCUCUUUCUAGGUGACAGCCCCCUGGCCUUUGCGGGUUGGGGUGUGCAGUUCCUAGUCGUUUAUUAUGACAAACUCAGAGUGUUCAAAGCAGGCGUAAAGCCUUGAAUGCUACAGCAUGAAAUAGUGGAAGAUGACGAUGGUCUUAUUUUGUUGGUUUCUAAGGCUGCCGUAAUGAUUAAUAGGGCCAGUUGGGGUCACUCGUAUUGAACUGUCAGAGGUGAAAUUCUAUGAUUUAUUCAAGACGAACUACUGCGAAAGCAUGUGACAAGCAUGGUUUCAUUGAUCAAGAACGAAAGUUGGGGGAUCGAAGAUGAUCAGAUACCGUCGUAGUCUCAACCAUAAACUAUGUGGACCAAGGAUCCGAGGACGUUAAAUGGAUGACUCUCCGGGCACUUUGUGAGAAAUCAUAAGUAUUUGCAUUCCGGGGGGAGUAUGGUCGCAAGUCUGAAACUUAAAGGAAUUGACGGAAGGGCACCACCAGGAGUGGAACCUGCGGCUUAAUUUGACCCAACACGGGGAAACUUACCAGGUCCGGACACAGUUAGGAUUGACAGAUUGAGAGCUCUUUCUUGAUUCUGUGGGUGGUGGUGCAUGGCCGUUUUUAGUUGGUGGAGUGAUUUGUCUGGUUAAUUCCGUUAACGAACGAGACCUUAACCUAUUAAUUAGUUACGUGAACAUGGGCUUCGGUCCUGUCUGUUCACGGGCAACUUCUUAGAGGGACUCUCGGCAUCUCUAGCCGAUGGAAGUUUGAGGCAAAAACAGGUCUGUGAUGCCCUUAGAUGUCCUGGGCCGCACGCGCGUUACACUGACGAUUGCAACGAGUUCUCUCCUUCUCCGAUGGGAGCGGGUAAGCUUUUAAAAGAUCGUCGCGAUGGGGAUUGCUGCUUGCAAUUAUUCAGCAUGAACGAGGAAUUCCUAGUAAGCGCAGUUCAUCAAACUGCGUUGAUUACGUCCCUGCCCUUUGUACACACCGCCCGUCGCUAGUACCGAUUGAAUGGUCUGGUGAGAACUCAGGACGGCGGAGGUGCAGUUUGCUCGCAAGGGCAAGCGGCCACUGCCGGAACGUGUUCAAAUCAUGCCAUUUAGAGGAACUAAAAGUCGUA
RNAcentral lists this ribosomal RNA (1215 nucleotides) under metagenome. RNAcentral's name for it is "SSU rRNA". It matches the Rfam family "Eukaryotic small subunit ribosomal RNA", at positions 582 to 1793 of the family's 1831-position model. The record is from RNAcentral.